UUAAAAUAGUUUAAAAAAAACAGUGAUUUGUGGAAUCAAAAUUUAUUUUGUAUUUUAAUUU
RNAcentral lists this transfer RNA (61 nucleotides) under Trioza urticae. RNAcentral describes it as "tRNA-His". The record is from RNAcentral. Lineage: Eukaryota; Metazoa; Arthropoda; Insecta; Hemiptera; Triozidae.